RNAcentral lists this ribosomal RNA (540 nucleotides) under Betaeus lilianae. RNAcentral's name for it is "partial large subunit ribosomal RNA". It matches the Rfam family "Bacterial large subunit ribosomal RNA", at positions 1830 to 2625 of the family's 2925-position model. The record is from RNAcentral. Lineage: Eukaryota; Metazoa; Arthropoda; Malacostraca; Decapoda; Alpheidae.
GUCUGUGCGAUAUAAUAUGAUAAGUCUGGCCUGCCCACUGAGAUAUUUAAAGGGCUGCGGUAAUUUGACCGUGCGAAGGUAGCAUAAUCAAUAGUCUCUUAAUUGGAGGCUUGAAUGAACGGUCGGACAAGAAAAUAACUGUCUUAAAAAAUUAAGGCGAAAUUAACAUCUGUGUGAAAAGGCACAGAUAGCUUAGUGGGACGAUAAGACCCUAUAAAACUUAACAUAAAAUUAUCACUCUUUGAGAAUUUUUAUAUAAAAUCAAGAUAGGUAAAAAGUGUUGUGCUGGGGUGGCAAGGAUAAAAACAAAUAACUGUCUAUAGAAUCUAAUAGUGUUAACUAGAAGUUGAUCCUUCAUUGAGGAUUAUAAGAUUAAGUUACUUUAGGGAUAACAGCGUGAUUUCUUUUGAGAGUCCUUAUCGACAAAGUUAGUUGCGACCUCGAUGUUGAAUUAAAGUUUCCCUUAGGAGCAGGUAUUUAAGGGGUAGGUCUGUUCGACCUUUAAUAGCUUUACAUGAUUUGAGUUCAAACCGGUGUGAG